GGCGAACGGGUGAGUAACACGUGGGUGAUCUGCCCUGCACUCUGGGAUAAGCCUGGGGAACUGGGUCUAAUACCGGAUAUGACCAACUGUCGCAUGGUGGUUGGUGGAAAGCUUUUGCGGUGUGGGAUGGGCCCGCGGCCUAUCAGCUUGUUGGUGGGGUAAUGGCCUACCAAGGCGACGACGGGUAGCCGACCUGAGAGGGUGAUCGGCCACACUGGGACUGAGACACGGCCCAG
This 236-nucleotide ribosomal RNA is filed under the name uncultured Actinomycetales bacterium. RNAcentral describes it as "partial 16S ribosomal RNA". It matches the Rfam family "Bacterial small subunit ribosomal RNA", at positions 97 to 334 of the family's 1533-position model. The record is from RNAcentral. Lineage: Bacteria; Bacillati; Actinomycetota; Actinomycetes; Actinomycetales.